UUUUUUCUGCUAUUUUACUACAGAACGCAGCAUCACUCUCGGAUAUCUUUAUACUAACUGGAGAAAUUUGAGUGAAACGGAAACGCGCAACGCAUUGCGCAUAGAAGGCCUAGUGAACCAUACGAUUGCGAAUGAGACGCUAAUAUACCGUAGCAAGAAUAACACCUGUGGCGUUUUCAAAGUUAAUUUCUUUGAUGGAGCUUGUUAUGAAACAUGGUAUGAAAUUCGAUUAAAAAAUUCAUCUCUUUUGGACGGACCUGAUUCCGAGUGUCUUGCCACAUAUACCGAGAAUCUAGGUGUGAACGAAUCGCGUUACUUACCAUCAACGUUCAACUACAGCGCUGAGUGCCAAUGUAUAUUUCAAAUAAACUAAAAAUGACGGCAAGGGAAUAUCAUGUGCGGCGGAGGAAAGAAAAGUGAAGUAGAAUACUGGCACUGGAUAUGUUAGCCGAGGAUUGGGCAAGAUAUUUAUCCAUGAUUAAUAACGCAAUUGACGCGAGAAAUUCUUAGAUCACUUGUCCAGUUGCCUCCAUUUUCCUGCCUCCUUGUGGUGUUUAGAUUUUCGCUACGUACAAGAAUAACUUGCACGUAUGUCUGUUUUAUAUUACACGACUACAUGCCUUCUGUCCAAUAAAGUAGUAAA
Long non-coding RNA from Dermacentor silvarum, 643 nucleotides. RefSeq lists it as uncharacterized. The record is from RefSeq and is a predicted model, not a curated record. The transcript has 3 exons. Lineage: Eukaryota; Metazoa; Arthropoda; Arachnida; Ixodida; Ixodidae.